CCUGUGUGCCUGAUAAGCAAGGGCUGUAUGAGUGAAGUCAUAGUCUAAGUCUCGGCUAUUUAAAGUAUACACUAGAUGGUGGUGAGGAUAUUGGGGUUGUGAGAAAAGAGUGUUCCAGGUGGAAGAAUCAGCAUAUGCAAAUUCCUAGGAGCUUGAAGAAACCGAGAAUCGUUGUGGGGUUGUUAAGAUUUUAGCCUGACUAGAAUAUGGCUGUACAGAGUACGGCUGGGAGAUACUGAUACUGCAGCAAGAGGAGGUCACGCAGAAAAGACCCCUGUGAGGCCUAAUAGGAAGUCUUCAGUUUGUCAUCACAGAAAUGAAAAUCAGUAAGAUUUUAUCCAUCUGAACCGAGCAAGCAACAGAAUGCAGACAAAUCACUAAGACUGGCUAUGGUGGGAAGGAGUGGGGAAGAGGCUCCUAAUGUGUUGUAAAACCACAGGAAAGAUAAAGGUAGUCUAAUGAAAUGAAAAUACUGAGAUUGGGGCCCCAGAUGGCUGAGUACAAGCAGCCAGUGUGCACUGCGCUCAUGGAAAAGAGAAAGAGGAACAAGUGAGCACUAGCUCCUCAACUGGAUGGGCCAGGCGUACACACUGGGGUUAAUCAAGGAAGCAACACAAUCCACAAAGAACAGAGAAGAGCAAGACAGGACAGCCACCUCCUCAGGACUGGCACAGACUCAGGGGGAGGCUCCCCACUGCCGGGAAACGUGGCACAUUAGCAGAGAUCAAGAUCCAAAUACAAGAUUAAUUAUCUACACUGCACUCCCCAAUCUGGAGGUCACUAGCCACAUGUGGCUAUUCAGCACUUGGAAUUUGGCCAGUUCUGGAAAUGGAAAACACACAGAUUUCAAAGACAUUAAGAUGAAAAAUGGUCUGUAAACGAUCCCAUUUAUUAAUAUAUUAAAGUUAUUUUAGAUGUAUUGAUUGGAUAAUUAAAUUGAUUUCAACU
RNAcentral lists this long non-coding RNA (948 nucleotides) under Homo sapiens (human). Its description in RNAcentral is "HSALNT0323864". Lineage: Eukaryota; Metazoa; Chordata; Mammalia; Primates; Hominidae. The record is from RNAcentral.